Molecule: ribosomal RNA, 460 nt
Filed under: uncultured bacterium
Lineage: Bacteria
Description: partial 16S ribosomal RNA
Rfam family: Bacterial small subunit ribosomal RNA
Source: RNAcentral
CCUACGGGUGGCAGCAGUGAGGAAUAUUGGUCAAUGGACGAGAGUCUGAACCAGCCAAGUAGCGUGAAGGAUGACUGCCCUAUGGGUUGUAAACUUCUUUUAUAUGGGAAUAAAAUGUUCCACGUGUGGGAUUUUGUAUGUACCAUAUGAAUAAGGAUCGGCUAACUCGGUGCCAGCAGCCGCGGUAAUACGGAGGAUCCGAGCGUUAUCCGGAUUUAUUGGGUGUAAUGGGAGCGUAGGUGGAUUGUUAAGUCAGUUGUGAAAGUUUGCGGCUCAACCGUAAAAUUGCAGUUGAAACUGGCAGUCUUGAGUACAGUAGAGGUAGGUGGAAUUCGUGGUGUAGCGGUGAAAUGCGUAGAUAUCACGAAGAACUCUGAUUGCGAAGGCAGCUCACUGGACUGUAACUGACACUGAGGCUCGAAAGUGUGGGUAGCAAACAGGAUUAGAUACCCUUGUAGUC